UACGGGGGGAGCAAGCGUUGUUCGGAUUUACUGGGCGUAAAGGGCUCGUAGGCGGCCAACUAAGUCAGACGUGAAAUCCCCAGGCUCAACCUGGGAACUGCGUCUGAUACUGGAUGGCUUGAAUUCGGGAGAGGGAUGCAGAAUUCCAGGUGUAGCGGUGAAAUGCGUAGAUAUCUGGAGGAAUACCGGUGGCGAAGGCGGCAUCCUGGACCGACAUUGACGCUGAGGAGCGAAAGCUAGGGGAGCAAACGGG
Molecule: ribosomal RNA, 253 nt
Filed under: uncultured bacterium
Lineage: Bacteria
Description: partial 16S ribosomal RNA
Rfam family: Bacterial small subunit ribosomal RNA
Source: RNAcentral